RNAcentral lists this ribosomal RNA (488 nucleotides) under Lodderomyces sp. W8Y18. Its description in RNAcentral is "eukaryotic LSU rRNA". The stretch from base 150 to 303 matches the Rfam family "5.8S ribosomal RNA". Lineage: Eukaryota; Fungi; Ascomycota; Pichiomycetes; Serinales; Debaryomycetaceae. The record is from RNAcentral.
UGCACUUUUCUUAUCUACACACGUGUUUUUGUUUUAUUCUUAAAACUUGCUUUGGCAGUGGCUGCUUAAUUGCUCUGCUGCCAGAGGAUAAACUCAACCUAAAUUUUUUAUUUUAAACUAGUCAACUGAUUAUAUUUAUUAAUAGUCAAAACUUUCAACAACGGAUCUCUUGGUUCUCGCAUCGAUGAAGAACGCAGCGAAAUGCGAUAAGUAAUAUGAAUUGCAGAUAUUCGUGAAUCAUCGAAUCUUUGAACGCACAUUGCGCCCUCUGGUAUUCCGGAGGGCAUGCCUGUUUGAGCGUCAUUUCUCCCUCAAACCCCCGGGUUUGGUGAUGAGCAAUACGCCAGGUUUGCUUGAAAGUUAGGAGGAGUAUUUAUAACAAUGUAUUAGGUCUAACCACUCCAUUGUGCUUAAUAAAAAGCUCCAAUCUAUAUUUCAAACUUCGACCUCAAAUCAGGUAGGAUUACCCGCUGAACUUAAGCAUAUCA